GGAAUAUUGGACAAUGGGCGCAAGCCUGAUCCAGCCAUGCCGCGUGCAGGAUGACGGUCCUAUGGAUUGUAAACUGCUUUUGUACAGGAAGAAACACUGGUUCGUGAACCAGCUUGACGGUACUGUAAGAAUAAGGAUCGGCUAACUCCGUGCCAGCAGCCGCGGUAAUACGGAGGAUCCAAGCGUUAUCCGGAAUCAUUGGGUUUAAAGGGUCCGUAGGCGGUCUUGUAAGUCAGUGGUGAAAGCCCAUCGCUCAACGGUGGAACGGCCAUUGAUACUGCAGGACUUGAAUUAUUAGGAAGUAACUAGAAUAUGUAGUGUAGCGGUGAAAUGCUUAGAGAUUACAUGGAAUACCAAUUGCGAAGGCAGGUUACUACUAAUUGAUUGACGCUGAUGGACGAAAGCGUGGGUAGCGAACAGGAUUAGAUACCCGAG
This 435-nucleotide ribosomal RNA is filed under the name uncultured Flavobacterium sp. RNAcentral's name for it is "bacterial SSU rRNA". It matches the Rfam family "Bacterial small subunit ribosomal RNA", at positions 358 to 790 of the family's 1533-position model. The record is from RNAcentral. Lineage: Bacteria; Pseudomonadati; Bacteroidota; Flavobacteriia; Flavobacteriales; Flavobacteriaceae.